GACGAACGCUGGCGGCGUGCUUAACACAUGCAAGUCGAACGGAAAGGCCCUGCUUUUGUGGUGUGCUCGAGUGGCGAACGGGUGAGUAACACGUGAGUAACCUGCCCUUGACUUUGGGAUAACUUCAGGAAACUGGGGCUAAUACCGGAUAGGAGCUCCUGCUGCAUGGUGGGGGUUGGAAAGUUUCGGCGGUUGGGGAUGGACUCGCGGCUUAUCAGCUUGUUGGUGGGGUAGUGGCUUACCAAGGCUUUGACGGGUAGCCGGCCUGAGAGGGUGACCGGCCACAUUGGGACUGAGAGACGGCCCAGACGCCUACGGGAGGCAGCAGUGGGGAAUAUUGCACAAUGGGCGGAAGCCUGAUGCAGCAACGCCGCGUGCGGGAUGACGGCCUUCGGGUUGUAAACCGCUUUCGCCUGUGACGAAGCGUGAGUGACGGUAAUGGGUAAAGAAGCACCGGCUAACUACGUG
This 468-nucleotide ribosomal RNA is filed under the name uncultured bacterium. RNAcentral describes it as "partial 16S ribosomal RNA". It matches the Rfam family "Bacterial small subunit ribosomal RNA", at positions 28 to 507 of the family's 1533-position model. The record is from RNAcentral.